This 318-nucleotide ribosomal RNA is filed under the name uncultured microorganism. Its description in RNAcentral is "bacterial SSU rRNA". It matches the Rfam family "Bacterial small subunit ribosomal RNA", at positions 9 to 319 of the family's 1533-position model. The record is from RNAcentral.
GAGUUUGAUCAUGGCUCAGAUUGAACGCUGGCGGCAUGCCUUACACAUGCAAGUCGAACGGCAGCAUGAUCUAGCUUGCUAGAUUGAUGGCGAGUGGCGAACGGGUGAGUAAUACAUCGGAACGUGCCCUGUAGUGGGGGUAACGUAGUCGAAAGAUUAGCUAAUACCGCGAUACGACCUGAGGGUGAAAGUGGGGGACCGGCAAGGCCGUCAUGCUAUAGGAGCGGCCGAUGUCUGAUUAGCUAGUUGGUGGGGUAAAGGCCCGACCAAGGCGACGAUCAGUAGCUGGUCUGAGAGGACGAUCAGCCACACUGGGAC